This 302-nucleotide ribosomal RNA is filed under the name uncultured Sphingomonas sp. Its description in RNAcentral is "bacterial SSU rRNA". It matches the Rfam family "Bacterial small subunit ribosomal RNA", at positions 108 to 428 of the family's 1533-position model. Lineage: Bacteria; Pseudomonadati; Pseudomonadota; Alphaproteobacteria; Sphingomonadales; Sphingomonadaceae. The record is from RNAcentral.
GCGUAACGCGUGGGAAUCUGCCCUUGGGUUCGGAAUAACAGCGAGAAAUUGCUGCUAAUACCGGAUGAUGACGUAAGUCCAAAGAUUUAUCGCCCAAGGAUGAGCCCGCGUAGGAUUAGCUUGUUGGUGAGGUAAGAGCUCACCAAGGCGACGAUCCUUAGCUGGUCUGAGAGGAUGAUCAGCCACACUGGGACUGAGACACGGCCCAGACUCCUACGGGAGGCAGCAGUGGGGAAUAUUGGACAAUGGGCGAAAGCCUGAUCCAGCAAUGCCGCGUGAGUGAUGAAGGCCUAGGGUUGUAA